CCAAUAGCGUAUAUUAAAGUUGUUGCAGUUAAAAAGCUCGUAGUUGAAUUUCGGAAUCUGUCCGUCGGUCGGGCUUCACUGUCCGUACUGGUGUGGUGGGUUCUUACCUUCUGAAUAACCAGCAUGCCAUUCACUUGGUGCGUUGGGGAAGCAGGACUAUUACCUUGAAAAAAUUAGAGUGCUCAAAGCAGGCCAGUGCCUGAAUACAUUAGCAUGGAAUAAUAAAAUAGGACGGCAUGGUUCUAUUUUGUUGGUUUCUAGGAUCACCGUAAUGAUUAAUAGGGAUAGUUGGGGGGAUUAGUAUUCAAUUGUCAGAGGUGAAAUUCUUGGAUUUAUUGAAGACUAACUUCUGCGAAAGCAUUUGCCAAGGAUGUUUUCAUUAAUCAAGAACGAAAGUUAGGGGAUCGAAGACGAUCAGAUACCGUCGUAGUCUUAACCAUAAACUAUGCCGACUAGGGAUCGGACGAUGUUAAUUUUUUAAUGACUCGUUCGGCGCCUUACG
RNAcentral lists this ribosomal RNA (502 nucleotides) under uncultured Acaulospora. RNAcentral's name for it is "SSU rRNA". It matches the Rfam family "Eukaryotic small subunit ribosomal RNA", at positions 591 to 1092 of the family's 1831-position model. The record is from RNAcentral. Lineage: Eukaryota; Fungi; Glomeromycota; Glomeromycetes; Diversisporales; Acaulosporaceae.